CACGAACGUUUUCUGUUGUUUUUCCUUCAUGUCACGCAAAGAGGAGUGCUAGACGAGACGUUCAUUUUCACCGUUUCUAAGAGACCACGGAAGAGGCAUUUCGAUGUGUCAUGUGUAAUAAUCUUCUGAAACUUUCCAAGUCAGCUAACUCCACUGACGACCUUGAGAGUCUUUUGCUUAGGGCCAAAAAUGUAAAUGAAUCAAGCACUAGUACUUUCCAGGAAUGUCCAGGUGUUAGUUGUUUCUUAGAAGAUAAUUGGAAAAUAGACAAAAAAACUGGUUGUCACAUGAAAAAUAAUAUUCAACAAGACUGGAAGGUACAUUGGCACGUGAAUGGAAUAAGAUUUAGCCUGUGAAAAUUCUUUUAGAUAAGACUCCUGUAGUGUCUCAUGGUAAAUUGACAUUUGGCAGUUUAUAAGUGGAAUCAGAGGAUCUCCAGUGUCUUGAUUUUAUAGAGAAAAUUUUAUAUUGCAAAUGUAAUGGCAUAAGAACCAUUUAAAAAAAAGUAUGAUCCAUAUCUUCGCAAAAUUUAAAGUUAAAUGUGUUGAAAACUAUGACGCAGUCUGUGAAACAUGGUGAAGAAGCAAAGUCCCAGAAUAGGAAAUAGAAGAAAGUUCUACAUUUGUCAAAUUUUAUUUCAACUUAUCUUUUGUAUGUGCAUUUGCAAAUAAACCAGAAAAAUAA
Molecule: long non-coding RNA, 684 nt
Organism: Penaeus monodon (black tiger shrimp)
Lineage: Eukaryota; Metazoa; Arthropoda; Malacostraca; Decapoda; Penaeidae
Exons: 2
Source: RefSeq, a predicted model, not a curated record